This 29-nucleotide non-coding RNA is filed under the name Rattus norvegicus (Norway rat). Lineage: Eukaryota; Metazoa; Chordata; Mammalia; Rodentia; Muridae. The record is from RNAcentral.
UGGCCAUUCGUGUCCUCUGUUUAGGUCAC